AACAGUUAGUGACCACUUGAUACCAAGAUGAAGAUCUGCAAGAUGCCACACUUCAACAGUAACCUCAUCCUGUUGGUCUGUGUUGACAAGGGGUCCCAGCUGCUAAUAUUUUAUGUCAAGUCAAAUCUGACUUGGUGACAUGUCAUCAAAUUCAUUAAGUGUGGUGUUCUUACCAAGAUAUACCUUGCCUUCACAACAAACUUCUGCACUCUAUCUACUCUAUGAAGUUUCCAGGACUAAACUACGUUUCGCCAUGUCACCAGCGUAUGGGUAGAAGGAAAACAAACACAUAUACUAUGUAAACCAAAGAUACUACCACUG
Non-coding RNA from Zootermopsis nevadensis, 321 nucleotides. The record is from RefSeq and is a predicted model, not a curated record. Lineage: Eukaryota; Metazoa; Arthropoda; Insecta; Blattodea; Termopsidae.